AGUUACUGGGAUAGCCCGAGGAAACUCGGAUUAAUACCGGAUAUUCUUAUUUAAUCACAUGAUUUUUUAAGGAAAGGUCAGCCGAACUAAGAUGGGCUCGCGUUCUAUCAGCUAGUUGGUAGGGUAACGGCCUACCAAGGCUACGACGGAUAGCUGGUCUGAGAGGACGAUCAGCCACACUGGGACUGAGACACGGCCCAGACUCCUACGGGAGGCUGCAGCAGGGAAUAUUGUGCAAUGAACGAAAGUUUGACACAGCGACACCGCGUGUGGGAUGACGGAUCUAGGUUUGUAAACCACUUUCAGGAGGGAAGAAAAUGACGGUACCUCCACAAGAAGCCCCGGCCAACUACGUGCCAGCAGCCGCGGUAAUACGUAGGGGGCGAGCGUUGUCCGGAUUUAUUGGGCGUAAAGAGCUCGUAGGCGGUUCAACAAGUCGGUCGUGAAAGUUCAGGGCUUAACCCUGAAAUGUCGAUCGAUACUGUUGUGACUAGGAUAUGGUAGAGGUGAGUGGAAUUCCGAGUGUAGCGGUGAAAUGCGUAGAUAUUCGGAGGAACACCAAUUGCGAAGGCAGCUCACUGGGCCGCUAUCGACGCUGAGGAGCGAAAGCUAGGGGAGCAAACAGGAUUAGAUACCCUGGUAGUCCUAGCUGUAAACGAUGGAUACUAGAUGUAGGAAUUGGAUUGACGAUUUCUGUAUCGUAGCUAACGCGUUAAGUAUCCCGCCUGGGGAGUACGGUCGCAAGACUAAAACUCAAAGGAAUUGACGGGACCCCGCACAAGCGGCGGAGCAUGCGGCUUAAUUCGAUGAUACCCGUAGAACCUUACCUGGACUAGACAUAUAGGGAAAAGCUAUAGAAAUAUAGUGUGCGUAAGCGCCCUAUACAGGUGGUGCAUGGCUGUCGUCAGCUCGUGUCGUGAGAUGUU
This 926-nucleotide ribosomal RNA is filed under the name marine metagenome. RNAcentral's name for it is "bacterial SSU rRNA". It matches the Rfam family "Bacterial small subunit ribosomal RNA", at positions 133 to 1076 of the family's 1533-position model. The record is from RNAcentral.